RNAcentral lists this ribosomal RNA (301 nucleotides) under uncultured bacterium. RNAcentral describes it as "partial 16S ribosomal RNA". It matches the Rfam family "Bacterial small subunit ribosomal RNA", at positions 509 to 807 of the family's 1533-position model. The record is from RNAcentral.
CAGCAGCCACGGUAAUACGUAGGUGGCAAGCGUUGUCCGGAAUUAUUGGGCGUAAAGGGCUCGCAGGCGGUUUCUUAAGUCUGAUGUGAAAGCCCCCGGCUCAACCGGGGAGGGUCAUUGGAAACUGGGAAACUUGAGUGCAGAAGAGGAGAGUGGAAUUCCACGUGUAGCGGUGAAAUGCGUAGAGAUGUGGAGGAACACCAGUGGCGAAGGCGACUCUCUGGUCUGUAACUGACGCUGAGGAGCGAAAGCGUGGGAAGCGAACAGGAUUAGAUACCCGUGUAGUCCCUGUCUCUUAUAC